Long non-coding RNA from Oncorhynchus tshawytscha (Chinook salmon), 1378 nucleotides. NCBI's taxonomy places the organism in Eukaryota, Metazoa, Chordata, Actinopteri, Salmoniformes, Salmonidae. The record is from Ensembl.
GGAUCGUAUAAUUAGCAGGAUCAACCGCGUGAACGUGACACAGGAAAGAAAUGUAAACUACUAUGAAUGGAAUGAUGCAACACAUUUUCUCAAGCUCUGUCAAGUUGGAUUGGGAGUGGAAGUAAACAGCAAUCUUCAAGUUUUUAAUGGGAUUCAAGUCUGGGCUUUGGCUGGGCCACUCAAGGACUUGUACAUUCUUGUUCUGAAUCCAUUCCAGCAUUGCUUUGGCUGAAGGCUUUGGACCAUUGUCCUGUUGGAUUGUAAAUCUUCACCCCCAGUCUAAGGUCAUUUUACUCUGAAGCAGGUUCUCAUCAAGGAUUUGCCUGUAUUUAUCUCCAGCCAUUGUUCCAUCUAUCCUUACCAGUCUCCCUGUCACACACCACCAUGCUUCACUGUAGGGAGGGUGUUAAACGAGUGAUGAUCUGUGCCUGGUUUUCUCCAGACAUAGGACUUUGCUUUCAGACCCAAGAGUUACAUUUUUUGUCUCAUCAGUCCACAGAAUCUUUUGCUUUCCUUUUUGCGAGCUCUAGGUGUGUUGCCAUGUGCGUUUUUCUCAGGAGUGGCUUCCAUAAAGUUGAAGUGACAUCCCAAGGAUGAUCAGAGGAAAUUGGAUGAACCUGAGCUCAAUUUAAACUUGGAGUGUCAUAGCAAAGGGGUGUGAAUAAGUAAGUAAAUGAAACAUUUCUGUAUUUAAUGUUCUAUUAAUUUGCAAGACAAUCUAAGAUCCUGUUUUCACUUUGUCAUUAUGGGGUAUUGUGUGAUAGCAAAGGGCUGUGAAUACUUAUGUACAUGUCAUAUUUCCGUAUUUCAUUCUAUAAACAUGUUUUCACUUUGUCAUUAUGGGCUAUUGUGUGAUAGCAAAGGGGUGUGAAUACUUAUGUACAUGUCAUAUUUCCGUAUUUCAUUCUAUAGACAUGUUUUCACUUUGUCAUUAUGGGGUAUUGUGUGAUAAAAAAGGGGUGUUAAUACUUUAAUUUUCAAUACAUUUGUAAACAUUGCAUUAUGGGGUAUUGUAAUCCAUUUCAAUUAAGGCUGAUGGGUGAGAAUUGUUUUUAAAUACAUAUGGAAUAAUAAGUGUGGAAUAAGUCAAGCAGGUAUGCAUACUUUUUGAAGGCACUAUAUGGUAUACAGAGAAAAAUAAAAUAAAAAGGUAAUUUUUUUGUCAACUCUGUAAAACAUUAACUCCGUCAGAGGGCUGAAAGAUGUGAUGGUUAUGUUUUUAUUAGGGAUUUUCAAAAUAAUACGUAUUUUACAAAUGUUUAUACUGAUCUUUUAUUUUUAGAGGCAAAAAUAUAUCUGUUUUGAGUAUCUGUUGUCAACUCCGUCACUGAUGGCUAACCUAAUUAAAUAAAUAUAUAUUUUAAAAUCACAAUUCUGC